UGCCAUGAGCCCCUGCCUCCUGGGCUGUGUGGUCUUCUGUCUCCUGCAGGCAGGGGCGGUCCACGCUGGUGUCACCCAGGACCCCAGAUUCCAGGUCGUAAGGACAGGACAGAGCACAACACUGAAAUGUACUCAAGAUCUGAACCAUGAUUAUAUGUGCUGGUACCGACAAGACCCGGGACACGGGCUGAGGCUGAUCUAUUACUUAGCUGUUGUGCCCAAUAGCGAGCCAGGAGAUGUGUCCGAGGGUUACAGCGUCUCCAGAUCAAAGAAAGAGAACUUCCCUCUGACGCUGAAGUCUGCCAACCGCUCCCAGACAUCUGUGUACUUCUGCGCCAGCAGUUACUCCACGGCGCUUCACGGCCACCUCCUCUCUGUGCAAAAAGACAGGGGGUCCACGUGCAGGGCCCUAACCCGGGAGCCUCAGGGCUUUGUUAGCCCCAUGCUUGCAGCGUGACCCUCGGUGUGUGCACCAGGUUGGCCUCAGCCUC
Cervus elaphus (red deer) is the source of this 491-nucleotide non-coding RNA. The record is from the annotation of a RefSeq genome assembly. Lineage: Eukaryota; Metazoa; Chordata; Mammalia; Artiodactyla; Cervidae.